This 406-nucleotide ribosomal RNA is filed under the name Babesia sp. RNAcentral's name for it is "SSU rRNA". Lineage: Eukaryota; Apicomplexa; Aconoidasida; Piroplasmida; Babesiidae. The record is from RNAcentral.
UUGGAGGGCAAGUCUGGUGCCAGCAGCCGCGGUAAUUCCAGCUCCAAUAGCGUAUAUUAAACUUGUUGCAGUUAAAAAGCUCGUAGUUGAACUUCAGCCAUUGGUGUCAUCGCGCGUGUCACYUUGAGUCCGUUGGCUUAUCUUUUUACUUUGAGAAAAUUAGAGUGUUUCAAGCAGACUUUUGUCUUGAAUACUUCAGCAUGGAAUAAUAGAGUAGGACCUUGGUUCUAUUUUGUUGGUUUCUGAACCUGGGUAAUGGUUAAUAGGAACGGUUGGGGGCAUUCGUAUUUAACUGUCAGAGGUGAAAUUCUUAGAUUUGUUAAAGACGAACUACUGCGAAAGCAUUUGCCAAGGACGUUUUCAUUAAUCAAGAACGAAAGUUAGGGGAUCGAAGACGAUCAGAUAC